GUCUAAGUUUAAGCAAUUAUACGGCGCAGCUGCGAAUGGCUCAUUAAAUCAGUUAUCGUUUAUUUGAUAGUACCUUACUACUUGGAUAACCGUGGUAAUUCUAGAGCUAAUACAUGCUAAAAACCCCGACUUCGGGAGGGGUGUAUUUAUUAGAUUAAAAACCGACGCCCUCCGGGGCUCACCGGUGAUUCAUAAUAACUUCUCGGAUCGCACGGCCUUGUGCCGGCGACGGUUCAUUCAAAUUUCUGCCCUAUCAACUUUCGACGGCUGGGUAUUGGCCAGCCGUGGUGACAACGGGUAACGGAGGGUUAGGGCUCGACCCCGGAGAAAACGCCUGAGAAACGGCGUUUACAUCCAAGGAAGGCAGCAGGCGCGCAAAUUACCCAAUGCCGACUCGGCGAGGUAGUGACGAUAAAUACUGGUACGGGGCUCUUUCGGGUCUCGUAACUGGAAUGAGUACAAUUUAAAUCCCUUAACGAGGAACAAUUGGAGGGCAAGUCUGGUGCCAGCAGCCGCGGUAAUUCCAGCUCCAAUAGCGUAUAUUAACAUUGCUGAGGUUAAAAAGCUCGUAGUUGAACCUUGGGCCUGGCUGGCCGGUCCGCCUCACCGCGUGCACUGGUCCGGCCGGGCCUUUCCCUCCGGGGAUCCCCAUGCCCUUCACUGGGCGUGGCGGGGAACCGGGACUUUUACUUUGAAAAAAUUAGAGUGUUCAAAGCAGGCCUAUGCUCGAAUACAUUAGCAUGGAAUAAUAGAAUAGGACGUGCGGUUCUAUUUUGUUGGUUUCUAGGACCGCCGUAAUGAUUAAUAGGGACAGUCGGGGGCGUCAGUAUUCAAUUGUCAGAGGUGAAAUUCUUGGAUUUAUUGAAGACUAACUACUGCGAAGGCAUUCGCCAAGGAUGUUUUCAUUAAUCAGGAACGAAAGUUAGGGGAUCGAAGACGAUCAGAUACCGUCGUAGUCUUAACCGUAAACUAUGCCUGUUAGGGAUCGGACGGUGUUAUUUUGUGACCCGUCCGGCACCUUACACGAAAGUACAAACGAGGCUCCUGGGGAAAU
RNAcentral lists this ribosomal RNA (1054 nucleotides) under Ophioceras leptosporum. RNAcentral describes it as "SSU rRNA". It matches the Rfam family "Eukaryotic small subunit ribosomal RNA", at positions 57 to 1124 of the family's 1831-position model. The record is from RNAcentral. Lineage: Eukaryota; Fungi; Ascomycota; Sordariomycetes; Magnaporthales; Ophioceraceae.